Molecule: ribosomal RNA, 1255 nt
Filed under: metagenome
Description: bacterial LSU rRNA
Rfam family: Bacterial large subunit ribosomal RNA
Source: RNAcentral
GUAUUCUAAGGCGCUUGAGAGAACUCAGGAGAAGGAACUCGGCAAAUUGACACCGUAACUUCGGAAGAAGGUGUGCCCUAUUAGUGUGAAGUGAACAACGGAGCAUGAAUGGGUUGCAAAAAAUCGGUAGCUGCGACUGUUUAUUAAAAACACAGCACUCUGCAAACACGAAAGUGGACGUAUAGGGUGUGACGCCUGCCCGGUGCUGGAAGAUUAAAUGAUGGGGUGCAAGCUCUUGAUUGAAGUCCCAGUAAACGGCGGCCGUAACAAUAACGGUCCUAAGGUAGCGAAAUUCCUUGUCGGGUAAGUUCCGACCUGCACGAAUGGCGUAACGAUGGCCACACUGUCUCCUCCUGAGACUCAGCGAAGUUGAAAUGUUCGUGAUGAUGCAAUCUCCCCGCGGAAAGACGGAAAGACCCCAUGAACCUUUACUGUAGCUUUGUAUUGGACUUUGAACAGAUCUGUGUAGGAUAGGUGGGAGGCUUUGAAGCAGGGUCGCUAGAUCUUGUGGAGCCAACGUUGAAAUACCACCCUGGUGUGUUUGAGGUUCUAACCUAGGUCCAUUAUCUGGAUCGGGGACAGUGCAUGGUAGGCAGUUUGACUGGGGCGGUCUCCUCCCAAAGCGUAACGGAGGAGUUCGAAGGUACGCUAGUUACGGUCGGACAUCGUGACGAUAGUGCAAUGGCAUAAGCGUGCUUAACUGCGAGACUGACAAGUCGAGCAGAUGCGAAAGCAGGACAUAGUGAUCCGGUGGUUCUGUAUGGAAGGGCCAUCGCUCAACGGAUAAAAGGUACUCUGGGGAUAACAGGCUGAUACCGCCCAAGAGUUCAUAUCGACGGCGGUGUUUGGCACCUCGAUGUCGGCUCAUCUCAUCCUGGGGCUGUAGCCGGUCCCAAGGGUAUGGCUGUUCGCCAUUUAAAGAGGUACGUGAGCUGGGUUUAAAACGUCGUGAGACAGUUUGGUCCCUAUCUUCCGUGGGCGCUGCAGAUUUGAGGAAGCCUGCUCCUAGUACGAGAGGACCGGAGUGGACACACCUCUGGUGUAUCGGUUGUCACGCCAGUGGCAUUGCCGAGUAGCUAAGUGUGGAAGAGAUAACCGCUGAAAGCAUCUAAGCGGGAAACUCGUUUCAAGAUGAGAUCUGCCGGGGCCUUGAGCCCCCUGAAGAGUCGUUCAAGACCAGGACGUUGAUAGGUCAGGUGUGGAAGCGCAGUAAUGCGUUAAGCUAACUGAUACUAAUUGCUCGUGCGGCUUGAUC